Molecule: non-coding RNA, 592 nt
Organism: Manis javanica (Malayan pangolin)
Lineage: Eukaryota; Metazoa; Chordata; Mammalia; Pholidota; Manidae
Source: RefSeq, a predicted model, not a curated record
UGUGAAUAUGAUGACGAGACUUCCACCAGUAACCUUGGGAAUGGAACCACUUCUGGCUGAACAACAAGACAGAAGGAGUCUGGCACCCUGACACCAUGGAGUGCUAUACAACUUUGGACAGACAACCUUUAGACAUCUUGAAUUAGUUUCCUUUGAUAUGAGACUUGGGAGAGCUGACACCCCUUUCACUGUCAAGCUAAGGAUGAAGCCAACACACAAAGGCAGAGCCAAGAGACUUGCAGAGAAAUGGAGCUUGGGCUGCUGGUUUAUGUCAGCGCUGAAGCCUGUCUUAACUCUGGGAUUCGUUUUCCUAACCAGGUACCUCCUUCAUUGGUUAGGUUGUACUUGGAUUUUAUGAGAGCUGCAGCCAAAAUUAUUCAACCUAAUACAAUGCUUUCUUUAAGAACAAGAUUCCUGAAGUGCAUGGCAGCCAGCCACUUCUGCUGACACCCAUCUUGGGCAGCUUUAUAGCAGAGUACCUCCUGUGAGAUACCUUGCCAUGAGCAGAUUUCCCCAGCAUCCUGGAGGGCAGACUUCUGGAAAGUUCCAGAAGGUGGAGUUCCAACAAGUUCCACUGGUGUGUGGCUACAGU